This 588-nucleotide long non-coding RNA is filed under the name Phoenix dactylifera (date palm). RNAcentral describes it as "long non-coding RNA (PDAC_LNC021171)". Lineage: Eukaryota; Viridiplantae; Streptophyta; Magnoliopsida; Arecales; Arecaceae. The record is from RNAcentral.
CUAGCUAUCAUUUUUGUGGAAUCUAAUUUCACUGAAAAUAGGACAUCCAAAGGAAUUUUUUUUUCAUAUUUCUCCUGUUAAAUACUUAUGUAACAGCUUUGAACCAAAAGUUUGUCUUUAAGGAAUUGGAAAUCAACUGUGGUUUAUGAACUACAUUGAGUACAUAUCUUAUUUGUGUUUUUACUCUAAUCCCAUAACCUAGAAAACAUGGUGAGUUAAACUCGAAACUAAUGAUUAAUUGCUGUGAGAUGGUUUCGUGGCAUUGAACAUCUGGACUAUGGCAUAAAUUAUCUUUGAUUAUCCACCGGUCAACUUUCUGAUGAAGUCUCCUAUUAAAAACUGAAAAGGGGAAACCAUCCUUUUGUUGUUCCAUAUACUAUAAUUGGAUCUUAUGCGCAUUUUCUUUUAAUUCUGCUUUGUAAGCUUGUUGCCUUCAGCCGAUGAAGCUUCUUGCUAUUUAUUUAUGGCUUGAGAUCUGAGAGUUGUACUUGCUGGACAUCUUAGGAUUUAUCACGAGUCAAGUAUAUCUUGUUUAAUCUUCUGUUGUGAGAAAGUGGCGUAUCAUUGGUUUUAUUUUUCUAUCCUGCA